This 462-nucleotide ribosomal RNA is filed under the name uncultured bacterium. RNAcentral describes it as "partial 16S ribosomal RNA". It matches the Rfam family "Bacterial small subunit ribosomal RNA", at positions 29 to 507 of the family's 1533-position model. The record is from RNAcentral.
AGUGAACGCUGGCGGCGUGCCUAAUACAUGCAAGUCGAACGGAGAUUAAGUAGCUUGCUAUUUAAUCUUAGUGGCGCACGGGUGAGUAAUAUAUAGCUAACUUGCCCAUUACUAAGGGACAACAGUUGGAAACGACUGCUAAUACCUUAUACUCCGUAUCUAUAUAAGUAGAUACGGGAAAGUUUUUCGGUAAUGGAUAGGGCUAUAUCGUAUCAGCUAGUUGGUAAGGUAAUGGCUUACCAAGGCUAUGGCGCGUAACUGGUCUGAGAGGAUGAUCAGUCACACUGGAACUGAGACACGGUCCAGACUCCUACGGGAGGCAGCAGUAGGGAAUAUUGCUCAAUGGGGGAAACCCUGAAGCAGCAACGCCGCGUGAAGGAUGACACUUUUCGGAGCGUAAACUCCUUUUCUUGGGAAAGAAUUAUGACGGUACCCAAGGAAUAAGCACCGGCUAACUCCGUG